This 1307-nucleotide ribosomal RNA is filed under the name Bacillus sp. SGE24(2010). RNAcentral's name for it is "bacterial SSU rRNA". It matches the Rfam family "Bacterial small subunit ribosomal RNA", at positions 67 to 1355 of the family's 1533-position model. Lineage: Bacteria; Bacillati; Bacillota; Bacilli; Caryophanales; Bacillaceae. The record is from RNAcentral.
CGAAUCGAUGGGAGCUUGCUCCCUGAGAUUAGCGGCGGACGGGUGAGUAACACGUGGGCAACCUGCCUAUAAGACUGGGAUAACUUCGGGAAACCGGAGCUAAUACCGGAUACGUUCUUUUCUCGCAUGAGAGAAGAUGGAAAGACGGUUUCGGCUGUCACUUAUAGAUGGGCCCGCGGCGCAUUAACUAGUUGGUGAGGUAAUGGCUCACCAAGGCGACGAUGCGUAACCGACCUGAGAGGGUGAUCGGCCACACUGGGACUGAAACACGGCCCAGACUCCUACGGGAGGCAGCAGUAGGGAAUCUUCCGCAAUGGACGAAAGUCUGACGGAACAACGCCGCGUGAACGAAGAAGGCCUUCGGGUCGUAAAGUUCUGUUGUUAGGGAAGAACAAGUACCAGAAUAACUGCUGGUACCUUGACGGUACCUAACCAGAAAGCCACGGCUAACUACGUGCCAGCAGCCGCGGUAAUACGUAGGUGGCAAGCGUUGUCCGGAAUUAUUGGGCGUAAAGCGCGCGCAGGUGGUUCCUUAAGUCUGAUGUGAAAGCCCACGGCUCAACCGUGGAGGGUCAUUGGAAACUGGGGAACUUGAGUGCAGAAGAGGAAAGUGGAAUUCCAAGUGUAGCGGUGAAAUGCGUAGAGAUUUGGAGGAACACCAGUGGCGAAGGCGACUUUCUGGUCUGUAACUGACACUGAGGCGCGAAAGCGUGGGGAGCAAACAGGAUUAGAUACCCUGGUAGUCCACGCCGUAAACGAUGAGUGCUAAGUGUUAGAGGGUUUCCGCCCUUUAGUGCUGCAGCUAACGCAUUAAGCACUCCGCCUGGGGAGUACGGCCGCAAGGCUGAAACUCAAAGGAAUUGACGGGGGCCCGCACAAGCGGUGGAGCAUGUGGUUUAAUUCGAAGCAACGCGAAGAACCUUACCAGGUCUUGACAUCCUCUGACAACCCUAGAGAUAGGGCGUUCCCCUUCGGGGGACAGAGUGACAGGUGGUGCAUGGUUGUCGUCAGCUCGUGUCGUGAGAUGUUGGGUUAAGUCCCGCAACGAGCGCAACCCUUGAUCUUAGUUGCCAGCAUUCAGUUGGGCACUCUAAGGUGACUGCCGGUGACAAACCGGAGGAAGGUGGGGAUGACGUCAAAUCAUCAUGCCCCUUAUGACCUGGGCUACACACGUGCUACAAUGGAUGGUACAAAGGGCUGCAAACCUGCGAAGGUAAGCGAAUCCCAUAAAGCCAUUCUCAGUUCGGAUUGUAGGCUGCAACUCGCCUACAUGAAGCCGGAAUUCGCUAGUAAUCGCGGAUCAGCAG